This 1371-nucleotide long non-coding RNA is filed under the name Mus musculus (house mouse). Its description in RNAcentral is "predicted gene 29295". The record is from RNAcentral. Lineage: Eukaryota; Metazoa; Chordata; Mammalia; Rodentia; Muridae.
GGCAUCUCUCCCUCCCUGCUCAGGCGCCUCACUGUGCUGUGAGUGUGUUCCUAUUUACAUGCGCAGGUUCCCCGCUGGUGGGACCCGGGCGGGCAGACAGACCAUCCAUCAUCCAUCUUCCUCCCCGCUGAGCCCUGCAUCCAUCGCAGAUCCCAUGGCCGGUGGGGCAGCACCUGCGAGACAGCCUGCAGCUUCCCUCUGCUCUCCUUGCCACGCCUCACAGGCUGGUGGUGCCCUUGAGAGCCACUGUGUUCUCCAAGGCCAAACCCAGAAAGUUAUAAUGGGUCGUGUACAAAGAUGUGCUAUAUACUGGUAGUGUAUAUAUGAAACAGACCCAUUGUGUUCAAGACAUGUGAGCCCUAAGCAAUGUGAUUCCAGUGAUAGGCUAUGUCCAUUUUGCAGAUGGGGAAAUUGAGAUGAAACAGACUAGCACCAGGAGGAGUGCCAUCAAUACUCAGAUAAUAGAAAAAAAUCAGCUAAAAGGCUGGGUGCCUUGGACAUCAGAAAACAGACAUAAAUAUCUCCAGACAUAAAAAUCUCCAGUAUUCAGGCCGUCUUGCCAAAAGUGUACACAAGACAGGAUGAGAGAUUUCUUCUUACCCUGGCCACCACCCUGAAAACUAUUGGGCCAUUCUCAGUGGGAGGAGGGAACAUCCAUUAUGAGUUCUCUGGAUUGUGGGAACUCUCACCCUUUCUCUUAAACAAAUAUCAGCACCACCAAAUCUGUAAUUGAAGUCAUUAAGAUGGGCUUUUUAAUGUUCAAAACAGGAACUGUUGAUUAUAUUGUUCUGAAGCCCUAAGUUACUGUUGCAGAAAGUUCAUAGGGAACAAACAGCAUCAGUGUUCUUUUCCAACUCACUAUGGGCAGUGUAAGGAGUAAAGGGGUCUAAAGGCACAGAAUACACAAGAAAUCCCAGUAAAGACCGUGAGUUCAGCCUAUGCUUACUCUAGAACUGAUCGACCCCUUUCAUACCUGAGAUGAGUGAGUAAAGGGAUUAUGCUGAUCUGGGAGGAUCUAACUCUUUGGUGUUGUAUCUGCUUAAAAUGCCUGGAAAUAAAAUUUAACCAACAAGUAAAAAUGUGUACUUCAAUAAUCUUCUGUCCACCACUAACAGUCAUGACUGGAAACUGCACACAGAGGUAGUCAGGUAGAGAUGAGCAAGAUAGUCCUAGCAUGCAACAUACCAGGACAUACAACAGAACAAAGUUAUCAAAAGUCCAUCUGAUUUUCCUUUGAUGUUUGUGAAGAAUUCUUUAGAAUUUUCUUUCUGAUAAUCUCCAAGUCUUACAUCACUUUCUAUGUUUUUUUUAAUGCAGUGACUUUUAACAUUUUGACUUUGCUUAAGAUGAAAUAUGUAUGUUUUAAAAGAA